AGGGAUCAUUACCGAGUGAGGGCCCCCGGCCCGACCUCCAACCCUUUGUUGACCAACACCUGUUGCCUCGGGGGCGACCCGGCCUUGGUGCCGGGGUCCCCGGUGGACCAUUAACGCUGUAUCUGUACGUCGGAGUAUCGAGCGAAUCAAUUAAAACUUUUAACAACGGAUCUCUUGGUUCUG
Molecule: unclassified non-coding RNA, 183 nt
Filed under: uncultured fungus
Lineage: Eukaryota; Fungi
Description: partial contains 18S rRNA, ITS1, 5.8S rRNA, ITS2 and 28S rRNA
Source: RNAcentral